Molecule: long non-coding RNA, 15231 nt
Filed under: Nicotiana tabacum (common tobacco)
Lineage: Eukaryota; Viridiplantae; Streptophyta; Magnoliopsida; Solanales; Solanaceae
Description: long non-coding RNA (NTAB_LNC014208)
Source: RNAcentral
UUUCAUAACAUCAUCAUCCUCUGAGGGCAUCCCAUCAUAUCAUCUCGAGAUAUCCUGGGCAACAUCAUCAACUUAUACCAACUGAUCAGGUGGUGGUGCAUAUAUAAUGUCGUAACCUUUUUCCAUAUCCCAUAUUCAUAUAUUUACAUAUAUACGCGUAUAUAACGUCAUCUAGUCAUGAGUCAAUGCACAUGUAUAAAUGGGUGAAAUGCAUGAAAAAUACAAAAUAAUCUCAAUAUUCCUUCCGGAUAAACUUUUUCAACUGCGUAUUAUUCUGAGACCCAUGAACAGAAGAUAAUAAUAAUUCACAUGAGGAAUCAAGAAUACAUACACCCCUAGUAUUUCUAUGAAUAGAGUAAUUUAUGGAAACUGUACGUUUGCUCGUUUCUUCUGUAUAAUUUGGACCACGCCAAAAGAAAGAAGGGACGGCCUUAACAUACCUGGAGUAGGAAAAAUUCCGUAUAAUAUUCUUGGCGAAGAUUGCACCGUACUCUUUUAAAACCACAAAAUUUGAUUGAAUUAAGCUUCUGGUUCUUUCAAAAGUUCAAACGAAUAUACGUUUCUGAUUGUUAAAAAUGUUUCGAACGAUUUUGAGCUCUUGUUCUUGAAAUGUUUAAACCAAAAAAUGAAAUGAAAUAUUCAAAGUUCAAAACCAAGAAAUGGAAUCAGAAUCAAUCGUUCCUAUAAGGUUCUAAGGUAGCCAUCUCAUUACUUAAAAUGAAUAAGAAUCACUUUCUAUUGCCACGUUACUAGGGUAUAAUUUAUUAAGUAUUUAUCCAUUUAUUAGUUAAUUGGGUAAAGUCCCGUUAUUUGGUAAUUAAUCAAUUACCCGCAAAAUUGAGAAUUAUUACCACUUACUUAAAAUACUACUCACUUUUCACAUACCUUAUACACCUUACUAUUAUGGUCAUGUGGUACCUCGUAUGGUACUGGUCCAUAAAUACCGAGUAUUUUAUCUCGGGCCGUAUUUUAUCCAAACAUGCCAAACUUGGACGAAAAUUUAUUUUCUUUGACUUGCUUCCCCUCCCACCUUCACGAAUUUACUUGUUACUUAGUUGAAAUAGCAUAAUCCUUAUAAUCUCCAAAUAAUCUUUUCCUUGGACUGAUGUCAAUUACCUUACGACAAAUUCAUCGUACAAUGCUAUAGGCUGCAACAUCGUCGUAAUAUAGUACUGCGGGACGUGACAUCUCACUUCCGGGCUCUCAUUAAUUUAUUUAUGACGUAUUUUCAUGUACGAAAAUAUGGGGUGUAACAGAAUUCUACUCUCCAACAAAUGCAGCAAUGAAGUUAUAGCAUACUGUGAUGCUGAUUGGGCAGCUUGCUCUCACUCUAGAAAAUCUGUGUCUGGUUAUUUUACCAAACUUUGUGAUUCAUUAGUUGCUUGAAAGUCUAAGAAACACACUACUAUUUCCUAAAGCUCAGCAGAAUUAAUUUGGCUACUUGGAUUACUGAAAGAAUUGGUAAUUGAAGUUCGACAGCCCGUGAAUGUCUAUAGUAACAGCAAGGCAGCUAUGCGAAUUGCGGCAAAUCCAGUUUAUCAUGAACGUACGAAGUAUAUCGAAAUCGAUUGUCAUUUCAUCAGGAAAAAAUCCUACAAGGCUUGAUCAUAAUAAUAUACAUUCCUACAAGAGACCAACCAGCUGCAAUUCUGACAAAAGGACUUAAUCGAGUUCUACAUGAAUAUCUCAAUCCCAAGCAUGGAGCUUUGAAAAUCUUUGCACUUACUAGCUUGUGGGGAAGUGUUGGGAAAGUUGUUACAUAAUUCAUUAGAGAAUAAAUUGGUCAUUUUACUAUAAUUGACCAAUUAGAGUUAAGUAGGUGGUUAAGUUAGUUAGACAAGUGGACAUUAUAUAUACACACGUGUAUAUGAGAUUUACACAAUGAAAGGAUAACAUUUUUCUUAUUUCAUAAUCUUCUUCUCUCUUUCGUCUCCUUCCUCCUCCUCUCUACUGGGUUCUUACCCUUCUGUUCAUCUUCUUCUUAAUACAAUUUCAUUUUACGUUGGUUUUCCGGUUAUAUAAGCAAAUUCGUUGCUUUGUGUGCUUCAGGAGGAGUAAGUUUGCGCUUUUCCAUCAAUUAGAAGCCUUAUUUUUCGAUCAACUGAUUAAACUUGUGGAACGCAAUGUCUAUAAAAGGAGAAAAAGCUAAUUAAAAAUUGGAAAUGAUUAAUUUAAAAGCUGUUUUUUUAUUUCUGCUCGGAAAGAUUAAUUUAAAAGCUUUUCCUUAUUUAUUUUCUGGCGUGAUGAGCUUCUCCCUACUACCUAAAGACAUGAAAUGAGAGAAAUAUAGAACAUCUUUUACGAAUUUACAAUGAGUUUUAAGUUCAAUUUAUUAUAUUGGCAAGGUGUUAAAGAUAAUAGUAUUGAUCAUUAAUUAACAACAUGUUUAAAAAAGAGCUGUCACACCUCCUUUUUACCACCCGAGGGUAUAUAAGAGAGUUUUUCCAAUUAAAGUGACAUUAUUCGAAAUGGGAUUAUUUAAUUUAUUAGAGUCGCCACUUGGAAUAGUUUAUUUGGUGUCCCAAGUCACCGGUUUAUUUUAAAUCCCAAAUCGAGGAAAUUUUCGACUUUAUUUAAAAGUCUGUAAAACCAGAAAUUCUAGAUAAGGAAUUCUGUUAACCCGGGAGAAAGUGUUAGGCAUUCCCGGGUUCCGUGGUUCUAGCACGGUCGCUUAAACUAUUAAUAAUUGGCCUAUUAUCUGAUUUACUACACGUUUUAAACCUAUUAUGCAUUUUUAACUUUAUAACCGCUUUUAAUUACUUUAUGGAAUUAUUCUUGAACAAGUUACGAUUGUCGUACACUUGCUUAUUUGAUACAUAUUGCGAAUCAUGUCACGGGAAUCGUACCCACGAUCCACAACAUGUUUAAUUUAUUAAAGUUAUUAGAAAUUAUAGCCGGGUCACAUAAAUGUACCCCCGAAUUUGAAAAUUAGGUAUCACAACUAGGUCACGGGAACCGUACCCGUAGCUAUGAUGAUUUUAUUAUAGACAUGCCUAAAGCAAACUACGAAUGUUCAGAAAUAAUUUUUACACUAAGUUAUAAUAUUAAUGUGAGGGCCAUAGAUUAGGUGAUUCAAUUGUGAAUGACACGCCUCGAUUUAUUUUUAAAAGAUUUGUAUUUCACUAAAGUAAACUAAGGAUGCUCCUAUUUAAAUAUAAUUUGAAAUUAGGUAUUACAACUAUGCCACAGGAACCAUACCCAUAGUUGUAAUGAUUUAAUUGCGUGCCUAAAGCAAAAUACGGUGUUCCAAAUUUGUGAUUCAUAGCCAAUUUGGGAUUGUUGUGAAGGCUCUGACUUAUGGAAGAAAAACAUACUAAUCCUACGGAGAAAAGACAAAUCUAGGAUACAUUACUGUAUGAAGUACGAAUUUUUCAAUACAUUUUGAAAGGAAGAAAAAAAAGCCAUAUUAAUUAGUUAGGUGUGUUCGUGUUCCACUUGAUUUCCACAUCAAUUUUAUUUUUUAUUUUUUUAUUUUUUCCAACAAAAAAGUUCAAAGAACUCUGCCACACAUGCCUAAGAUAAAUACAUUUAAUUAACAAUGCUACAAAAUAUAUAUUAUAACAUGAAGCAACAGUUCAAAUGGUAAUCACCAAAUAUGCAAGUAUUUAGACAUCUCCGUCAGUGAAGAAAGCACAUGUUCCUUUUAAUUCAGACACCAAGAAAAAGACGAACAUCUCCAGGUAUCCCGAGAACAGAAAUUGGAAUAACUGACAUGAACAGAUCUUUUCAACAAAUAUAUUGGGACAGUCUCAAGCAAUAAAGUUAAAAUCAAGUAUGCUCCUUAUUCAUAUGUAAACUCAAAGCAAUUAAAUACUAAUAUUUUCACCAAUCAAAUAUCAAAUCAGUGAUCAUAGAGUCAUAUUAAACUAUAAUCCGACAUGUCUAAACCAAGCAGAUUCAUAAAUUUAUAUGCUUGUCCAAAGUGAAGCAACAUAUUUAACAAAAUGAUAGGGAAAAACUGGAGCCAGAUCAAAUCAGUAUUUUAUUCAUUCGAAACUAGAAACAAUCAGAAAAUUAGAAGUGUACCUACCUUGUAUUUUAAAAGAAAUAAAGGAAAAGUGAAACGAAGCUCAACAACAAUUUUCUGUCCACAACAAACAACAAUCGCAGCAAGACAGCUCCAAUUAGAGCUUCGAAAACUUGGAUCCUAAAUAGGAAUAAACGGCUUUACGGGGCAUCAGGAGAAGAGUUCCAAUAAAGGGCAGCCACAAUAGCUCGAGCUACAUCGCUUGCUAUACCAUUGUACUCCAUCUUUCUUUAGCUGUUAAUUAAUGCUUCAAUAAAUUCUUGAAGUUGUACGGUAUCCACCUUUGAAAAAGUUUUUAAAAGGAAGAAAGAAAAAAUUGGAAAGAGGGUUUUAAGCAAAUAUGUCAGUUAUUUAUACUCUGUGAUGGCGGACAGAGUGGGGAUAGAGGAAAGGUGCUUCAUCUUUUUGGGUCUUUGAUCUGUGUAUCGUGUGGAGAAAAAAAUGAAGAAGAAAGAGGGGUUUGGUCUUUUUUGUGGAAACGGCGCUGAGGGAGUGGAUCUGAUUUAUUAGGUCUAGCCUAAGUUUUAAUUAAAAGGAGGAAGAGUUAGGUCAGGCGGGUCAGGUAGGGAGAUUGGGCUGGUGGAAUUUGGGUAUUGUAUUUGGGCUAGUUAGACUUAGGCCCAAUAUAUCAAGACUAAAUCAAAUUCUUUACCUAUUUUCCUUUCUCUUUGUUUUCUUUUUUUUUCUUUUCUUUAAUUUAAAACCCUUAAAUUAAUUAAAAUCCUAAAUCAAUCUAUUUUUGUAGAAAUUAAAAUUCUUUAUUUAUUUUUAAUAUUAAAACGACUAAUUAACUUAAAACUAAAGAAAAAUGCUAAUUUUAAAGGCUAAAAUCUAAAUAUGUAAAAAAUGACCAUUUUUAUAAUUUUUUGCUUAAUAAAAUUAAUUCCUACAUGCAAUUUGAACCUAAGAUGGCAUGAAAUUAAAACGUGAUAAUUUUUAUUAUUUUAAAAUAUUAAAAAAUGCAUGAAAUGCAACUAAAUAAAGAAAACUUCAAAAAUCCCUUAAAAAUUAUUUUUGGUCUAUUUUUAGGAGUUAUUUUCAUGUAAGGCAAAAAUUGGGUGCUCAUAGCUGCCCCUCUUUGCUCGGAAACAUGAAGAAUUUUUGGGCAAAGAUAAAAUGAGCAACUACGAGCAAUUUUUGCCCGUUUGAAACUCCAUUUGGAAGCAUUUUGAAAAAGUUUGACCGAACCUUGCUUCAGAGGUUGCCUACAUAUCCUUGGCUAUAAAGGAAUCAGGUCGGUGUAGUUUUGGGAGUUUUGGUAGUUGGGACUAUCGAAAAACUGUGAUUUCAUUGUUGUUGUUGCUGUUUCUGCUUGCUGAGCUCCUUAUUACACCAAAAUGAAAAAUAAAAAGCUAAACUAGUUAAGUCUAUCAACUACGUGUUACAAGAUUCCUAUCUAUAAAUCUUCUGAAGCUUGAACUUGAGUCUUGGCUGGUUCUUCCUGCAGACUUCGAUCUGAAUCUUGAUGCUUGUUAGCUGCAAACGCUGGUUCAUUCUUCUUCAGCUUUUCGGAUCAAGGCGAGGCAAUGCAAAACUUAUGACUUCAAUCUUAUCUUGGGCAAUCCACAUCUUUUCUCUGCUUCUACACUUAGAGUUCAACUUCUUUUCUUGUUUCUUCUUUUCUUUUAUUUGUGUUGNNNNNNNNNNNNNNNNNNNNNNNNNNNNNNNNNNNNNNNNNNNNNNNNNNNNNNNNNNNNNNNNNNNNNNNNNNNNNNNNNNNNNNNNNNNNNNNNNNNNNNNNNNNNNNNNNNNNNNNNNNNNNNNNNNNNNNNNNNNNNNNNNNNNNNNNNNNNNNNNNNNNNNNNNNNNNNNNNNNNNNNNNNNNNNNNNNNNNNNNNNNNNNNNNNNNNNNNNNNNNNNNNNNNNNNNNNNNNNNNNNNNNNNNNNNNNNNNNNNNNNNNNNNNNNNNNNNNNNNNNNNNNNNNNNNNNNNNNNNNNNNNNNNNNNNNNNNNNNNNNNNNNNNNNNNNNNNNNNNNNNNNNNNNNNNNNNNNNNNNNNNNNNNNNNNNNNNNNNNNNNNNNNNNNNNNNNNNNNNNNNNNNNNNNNNNNNNNNNNNNNNNNNNNNNNNNNNNNNNNNNNNNNNNNNNNNNNNNNNNNNNNNNNNNNNNNNNNNNNNNNNNNNNNNNNNNNNNNNNNNNNNNNNNNNNNNNNNNNNNNNNNNNNNNNNNNNNNNNNNNNNNNNNNNNNNNNNNNNNNNNNNNNNNNNNNNNNNNNNNNNNNNNNNNNNNNNNNNNNNNNNNNNNNNNNNNNNNNNNUAAACUAUUUCUUUAAUAAAAGAAAAAAAUAAGGAUUGUGUAUCCAUGGGAAAAAGAGAUUAGGGAGUGGAGCCCUAUAUUUAUAAUGAAAUCAACUAGGGAGUGGACACCCUAUGUUGGAGAAGAGACUAGGGAAUGGAGACUCUAUAUCUAAACUAAAAUCAACUAGGGAGUAGAAACCCUAUAUUGGAAAAGUGACUAGGGAGUGGAGAAACUAUGUCUAAAAUACUUCAACUAGGGAGUGGAGACCCUAUGUUGGAAAAGUCACUAGGGAGUAGAAACCCUAUGUCUAAAAUAAAUUCAACUAGAGAGCGAAGACCCUAUGUUGGAAAAACAGACUAGGGAGUGGAGACCCUAUGUCUAAAAUAAAUUCAACUAGGGAGUGGAAACCCUAUGUUGGAAAAAUGACUAGGGAGUGGAGGCCCUAUGUCUAAAGUAAAUUCAACUACGAAGUGGAGACCCUAUAUUGGAAAAGCAGACUAGGGAGUGGAGACCCUAUGUCUUAAUUAAAUUCAACUAGGGAGUGGAGACCCUAUGUUGGAAAUGCAGACUAGGGAGUGGAGACCCUAUGUCUAAAAUAAAUUCAACAAGGGAGUGAAGACCCUAUAUUAUAAAAGCAGACUAGGGAGUGAAGACUCUAUUUCUAAAAUAAAUUCAACUAGGGAGUGGAGACUCUAUGUUGGAAAAGUGACAAGGGAGUGGAGACCCUAUGCCUANNNNNNNNNNNNNNNNNNNNNNNNNAAACCCUAUGUUGGAAAAGCAGACUAGGGAGUGAAGACCCUAUGUCUAAUUAAAUUCAACUAGGGAGUGAAGACCCUUUGUUGGAAAAGCAGACUAGGGAAUGGAGACCCUAUGUCUAAAAUAAAAUCAACAAGGGAGUGGAGAACCUAUGUUGGAAAAAAUGUAACUAGAGAUUGGAAACCCUAGGCUACCAUAUUUUUGAAUUUUCUUCUCUCUCUUUUUUUAAGAAAAAAUAAGCAAGAAUGCAGGAAAGAAUUUGGAAGAGACUUCCUUUUUGGAUUGAUUAUUGCUGCAAAACUAUUUCUAGCCCUUCCGCAGUUUCUUUUGGUUGCACCUACUUCUUGCAAUGUUGCUUUGGAUUGCACAUGUUUCAUGUUUUCAAACAAAGAACUAUUGUUAGUUUGAAACGGUGGUUGGUUUUGUGACAUUGGUUGUUUUGAUCUCGGCCCAACUCUUUCGAUGAAAAUCUCUAUUACUCGCUGGCUUUGUGGAGAUCGAUCGCUCUUGUAAACCCAGGGAUCUUGACUUUCCAAAAUUUUACAUGAUGUUUCACCUGUGUGGGGAUUUAGCCUUUUCAUAUUAUUUUGCCUUUAUGGGCACUUGACUUUCGAUUUCUUUCCUUUUCAAUAAUUUUGACUCUAAAGCAUCGGCCAUCAUGGCCAGUCGAGAUCUACUUGAUGCACCUGCUAAGACUGGGUGCUUUUUUGUACAUUAGCUCGUGUCAAACGAAAGCCCUGUAAAUCAAUCUUGCCAUCCCUUCUUUGUCUCAGUUUCGGAAUAGAGUUAGACCGAAAGGGAUUCAAAGAAAAAUAAACAAUGGACAGGAUAAUGAAUCUGAACGAGAGGUAUCCCUUUCGGGGAGAAGAAAAAAUGACUUAUUCGGAGUGCAUGCAGACUUUAAUGAACAUGACAUGUCUUUGGACUAGAUGCCUGAUCUGUGUAAACCGUCUGACUCUCAGAAAUUCAUCACAACUUUGCCUUGGAACCGAGAACCUUGCCAGGACUCUGUCGAUGCCAAUGACUGUGAGGAUCCUCUUUUCGAUGAGGGACGCCCUUUGCGGGUUUUCACGAGCUGACCUCUCUCAUUUCUCUUCUCACUAUCGCCUUAUAGUACUCUUUGCGAGUUUUCACUAAAAAGACUCUCUCAUUUCAAUUUCUCUGCUUACUGUCGCCUCACGAUGCCCAUGUGGGUUUUCACCAAUAAGACUCUCUCAUUUUAUUUCUCUGCUUACCAUCGCCUUACGGUGCCCAUGUGGAGUUUCACCAAUAAGACUCUCACAUUUUAUUUCUAUCAUUUUGUUGUAUCAGAUAAGUAACUCUAUCCUCCCAUUUUAAACCUCUUUGCCGAUUGAUCACAAGGACUUGAACAGGGUUUCAGGGUAAAAAGGAUUUGGGAUUGAGUUACAACUUUGGAACCUUUCGGGCGAAACCAUCGCCAAACCAUUAUAACAUUUGCCCUAGUUUCACUUUUGGGGAAUUUGGAUUUUUAUUUUGGUGUGACUGAACCUCAGAGAGAGGCUGCCUACGUAUCCUUUCGGAAUCAAGUCGAACGUAGUUUAGGAAACUUUAUUUUUGAUUUUCUUUUGUUUUUCUGUUUUGUUUUGUUUUCUCUUUCUUUUUCCUUUCCUUUUUUCUCUCUUUUUUUCGUUUUUUUUUUCAUUUUCUUUGACUUUUCUUCCUUUUUUUGUAUGUUUCUUUUUCUUCUCUUUUUUGUUUUCACUUUUCAUCUUCAUUUUUUUUGUAUUUUUUUUUUCAAAUAACACUUUUCAGGUUUUCCAAAGAGGGUAUUUAAAGAAAAGUAGCCGGCUCAAAGGGUUUUGCAAAUGGGUUGAUAGUGUUUUGGGUUAGCUGAGAAUAAAAGCCUUAUUCAUCCCAACCGGAGAACUAUUUAUAUUAUAUAGAGGAUCCAAUAUAGUACCUUUUGGCUGCAUUUGCAUUGACAGUUAUUUCAGGACAUUUCCUUUGAUGUAUUCCAGGUACAACGCUCUUUUUGGUAGUACCCUUGUUACCAUGUAUGGAUCUUUCCAAUCUGGAGCCAAUUUUCCUUUAGUUGUUCCAACUCUUUGUUUUAUUUCCUUACACUUAUCUUCAUUGCAAUCUAAUUCUUGAUUUAUUAUUUCAAAGCCUGACAGCGAUUUAGGAUCUGGGCAUGAAGUCCGUAAGCAUGUCAUGUUUUUGAAUAUGCAUUUAAUAGAACUAAAAAUAGAAUAAGGAAAAUGACAAGAUUAAGAAAAGAGAUAUUCCUGAACAAUGAAAUAUUAAUUUCAUUUGAUUUUUCAAUUUUUGAUUUUUUUUCAAUUUUUUGAAGUUAGAAGGGUUUAAAUCGGAAAGUAAGACAAUAAAGUAAAACAUCCGUAUCACACCCUGAGAUAAUCCGGACGCAAAAAGGAUAGCAAGACUGGCUACCGAGACUCCCGUCUGAUGGGAAACUUUCAUGCUUGGCGACCAUUUUUUUGGCUUUUCUUCUGUCUCGGCAAUGGCUGCAAUGGCCUUCAGUGCCGGAUUAAAUUCCUCAUCUUCACAAAUUAUUCCGACUAUUGGCCCGCUGUUGUGUGCAAACAACAGAUUGUUCAUCACAUCAAGAGCUUCUUCAUCCUGAAAAAUAAUUCUUUCUACUUCAAUCAAAUCUUCAGCUGCCCUUUUGAGAGUCCAACAGUUCUCUGUACUGUGUCCCACUGCUCCAAAGUGGUAUUCACAUCUAGCAUCAACUCAGUGCGAGAGGGACUCGGGGUUCGGCCAGUUCGGGCCCACUGGCUGCAAUAGAUCUAGCAUGAUUAGCUUUUGGAACAAGCUUGAAUACGAUUUACCAAUAGAGGUGAACUGAUUCUUUCUGAAAGGCUCUCUUGGGCGAGGAUUGUACUGGGGAACAUCUGGUUGGGGAUUAUAUGGAGCUUGGUAAGGAUGGACAUUUAUGGGAGGUGGAGCUCGGUUUUGUGUAUGAUAUUGUGGCCGCGUGUAAGGUUGCACGUUCAUCACCGCAUAAGAGGUGGUGCCACAGCAUAAGCAGCAUCUUGAAGAGGAUAAUAAUGUUGAGGGACCUCAGGAAGAAUAUAUGAUCGACUGGAUGACUUGCAGGUCCCCCUCAAGCUCGAAACCAUCAUGGCUCCUUCUUCUCUCCCGUUUCCAUUUAUCAAAUCCUCUGAACCAUUUUGAACAUCUGGUAAUGUGGCUUUAAAAGCAGCAUGACUCAAGAUUCAACCCGUUUUUAGCCCAUUUUAUACCAUCUCCCCAAUUUUGAUAGCCUCAGCAAACGACUUUCCCAUAGCGGGCAUCAUGUUCUAGAACUAGUCUGCCUCUUGGGCCUGUAGAAAGAUUGUGACCAUUUCAAUUUCAUCCAUUGGAGGCUUUACCCUGGCAACUUGCUCACUCCAUUUGAAUACAUAUUUGUGGAAGCUUUCCGUGAUUUUCUUUUUCAAAUUGGACAAAGAGUUUCUAUCAGGAGUGAUGUCCACAUUAUACUGGAACUAGCGAACAAAAUCUCGGGCCAUAUCGUCCCAUUCAUGCCAAUGGGUAAUUUCUUGAUCUGUAUACCACUCAGAAGCGAUUCCGGUGAGGCUUUCCCUAAAAUAGGCCAUUAGCAGCUCCUCUUUUCCACCAGCACCCCUCAACUGGUUACAAUAUCGUUUUAGAUGAGCGACCGAGUCUCCGUGCCCGUUGUACUUUUCAAAUUUUGGCAUCUUGAAGCCAGCUGACAAGUGGACAUGAGGAAACAUACAGAGGUCAGAGUAUGAGACACUCUUCUGACCACUCAGACUUAGCAUGUUUUUCAGGCUUUGUUCUAGGUUCUUCAUCUUCCGAGACAUUUCCUCUUGCUCGGGAUUUUUAAUUUUCUUGCUCCCCCGAGAGAUCAUAUUGCGGAGGUUGAAUGAAAGAGUACGGGGUCACAUAUGUUAUUUCUGAUUGAAGCUGAUGCUGAAAGGUGAACAUUGGAGGCUCAACAUAUGGUCGCGGUAAAGUUGGUUGUGUUUUGGUGCAGACUGGUGCUGUAGAGAACAAUAUUGGGGGUGCCCAGGAAACCAGCGCCUGGGGGCAAACCACAGAAGGCAUGCCAGGAUCAUUGAACGGCAUUGGAGAGUGCCCGUAUGGGAUGAGCGGGUUAGGCACAGGGGCGUUGGUAACCUCACUUGAACUGGGGAUCAACUGAGGGAAUCCAUGGAUUGUACUUGACGGUUCCUACCAUUAGAGCAGGCGUCCCACAUUUCCAAUAUGCGGAGACAUAACAUCUUAUUCUCUUCAGUAGCUGCUGAUUCUAGCUGCAGAAUAGCCGAUGUCGGGCUAUCCUCAGGACCGAUGAUUGGUAGAUUGCUUGNNNNNNNNNNNNNNNNUUGCACACCCAACAACCUUGUUAGUUGUGAGACGCUUAACAGAUAUGAAAUCGCACGUUUGGAUGCAAUGCACCUAAACAGUUAAACGUUUCUACCAUGUAAACGGUUGCAUGUUUCAUCCCGGCCUUAGUUAACCCCUUAAGUAUGUACCCUUUUUCUUUUAUUUCUGCCUCUCUUAAUUACUCUUGAUUUUUUUUUCAUUUCGUUUUUGUCGCUCUUUUAUUUUUUUGGCACUCUCUUUUCUUGUUUUUUGUUUUGUUUUUGUCACUCUCUUUUCACUCAAUUUUUCUUUCUCCUUUUUUUUCAGUUUAUUCUUCACUCAGUUAAUUUUAUGGCUAUGAUCGAAUCCGAUGAGGAUUUCCUACGUAUCAUGACGCCGCAUGAAUCAAAUCUUGCGUAGUUCGGGAAGAUCGAAAAUGGAGUAAAUAAACUUAUUUUUUUUUGGUUGGAAUUUUUGAAAGAAAUGCUUUAAAAUAAGAAAAGAAAUAUUUUUUUUUAUUUUUGAUUUUGAGUUUUGUUUUGUUUUUUGAAAGAAAGACUUAUAAAAAUUCAUUUGCUUUUGAUUUGAACUUUGGGAAUUUUAAAAGUAAAAAGAAAAUAUUUUUAUUUGAAUUUUUAUUUGUUUUCUCUUUUUUUAAAGAAGAAAGAAAAUAUUAUAUAUAUAUUUUUUGGAUUUUGGACGUUUCCUCUUAAUUUUUGAAAGAGGGACUUUUAAGAAAAUGUUUUGAAUUUCUGAUUUAUUUACAAAAGUACUUCUAAAGAAAAGCAAAAUAUUUUUGGACUUCAAUUUUCAAUUUGUUUUUACAUUUACGAAAGAAAUACUUUUAAAGAAUAAAAAAAAUAUUUUCUCUUUUUUUUUUGGAUUCUUUUUUUGAUUUUUUGGAAAAAUACUUCAAAACAAAGAAAACCCGUAUGAAAUACUCUAGAAAGAAGGAAACUACUCUUUUUUUUAGUUUUAAAAAAUUCCCUUUUUUUGUUUUGAAUUUUCUAAGGAAAAUAUUUUUGGAUUUUUGAAAAUUGGGGUCGGAACCGAUGAGGUUUGCCUAUGUAUCUCACAUCCAGGGAAAUAUGAAACUUGAAAAUUUUGGCUCAUUUUGAAAUGAUUUUUCUUUUUCAUAAUUUUGGCAGAGUUUCAGAAUUUUCUAGAUACCUACCUCUCACCUUUUUUUUGAUUUUUUUUUUCUUUUUUCUUAUAGAUGCCGGCCAACAUGCAAGCCGAAUCAAAUAAUUGUACAAGUAGUAUGUAAGAUGAAUCAGGAUGGUCUUUUUAAUUUGGGUACACUUGUCCUAGACGGACCUAAUCCCUGUGUUGAGUCUCCAAAAUCAAAUGCACAUGAUGCAAACAAGCGUUCCUACUAGGAAUCCGGCAUGAGACUGAGUUAUUCUAGGUUUAAAACCUGGGUAUAUUGUUCUAGACUUGGUUUAUCCGAGCGGACAACUCGAGCCAGGGGGGUUACGUACCGGGAACCAAAAGGUCAUUCGGCUUUGUAACUUGUUCGAGCCUCUUUCGAAUUUUAAGGUAUGACACUAACAGAAAAGGAGUCACGCCAGCGUGCACAUCCCCAAAGAUGAGAAGAGAAGGGUUUCGUAACAGUCUAUAUACAAUUCAAAUAAUAUCAAAGCGGUAAAAAGCGACAUUUAGCACAUUAGGCCCAAACAUGCAAUUAAUAAAUAAAAGACAAUUAUAACAGUUAUUCAAAGCUCGAAUUCUUGAACCCUGAACCAAAAGUUCUGGGUUAUGGUCCCCAGCAGAGUCGCCACAGCUGUCAACACCUCUUUUUUACCACCCAGGGUAUAUAAGGGAGUUUUUUCAAUCAAAGUGAUAUUAUUCGAAAUGAGAUUAUUUAAUUUAUCAGAGUCGCCACAUGGAAUAGUUUAUUUGGUGUUCCAAGUCACCGGUUUAUUUUAAAUCCCAAAUCGAGGAAAUUUUCGACCUUAUUUAAAAGUCUGCGAAACUAGAAAUUCUAGAUAAGGAAUUCUGUUAAUCCGGGAGAAGGUGUUAGGCAUUCGUGGGUUCCGUGGUUCUAGCACGAUUGCUUAAACUAUUAAUAAUUGCCCUAUUAUCUGAUUUACUACACGUUUUAAACCUAUUGUGCAUUUUUAACUUUAUAACCACUUUUAAUUACUUUAUGGAAUUAUUCUGGAACAAGUUACGAUUAUCGUACACUUGCUUAUUUGAUAGAUAUUGCGAAUUAUAUCAUGAGAAUCGUACUCACGAUCCACAACAUGUUUAAUUUAUUAAAGUUAUUAGAAGUUGUGGCCGGGUCACAUAUAUGUACCACCGAAUUUGAAAAUUUGGUAUUAUAACUACGUCACAGGAACCGUACCCGUAGCUGCGAUGAUUUUAUUAUAGACGUGCCUAAAGCAAACUACGAAUAUUCAAAAAUAUUUUUUACACGAAGUUAUAAUAUUAAGGUGAGGGCCAUAGAUUAGGUGAUUCAAUUGUGAAUUGCACGCCUCAAUUUAUUUUAAAAAGAUUUGUAUUUCACUAAAGCAAAUUAAGGAUGCUCCUAUUUAAAUCUAAUUUGAAAUUAGGUAUCACAACUACGCCACGGGAACCAUACCCGUAGUUGUAAUGAUUUAAUUGCAUGCCUAAAGCAAACUACGGUGUUUCAAAUUUGUGAUUCAUUGCCAAUUUAGGAUUGUUGUGAAGGCUCUGACUUAUGGACUUGACUUAUUUGGGAAGAAAAACAUACUAAUCCUACGGAGAAAAGACAAAUCUAGGAUGCAUUACUGUAUGGGGUAUGAAUUUUUCAACACAUUUUGAAGGAAAAAAAGCCAUGUUAAUUAGUUAGGUGUGUUCGUAUUCCACUUGAUUUCCACAUCAAUUUUCUUUUUUCUUUAACAAAAAAUUUCAAAGAACUCUGCCACACAUGCCUAAGAUAAAUAUAUUUAAUUAACAAUGCUACAAAAUAUAUUAUAUAACAUGAUGCAACAAUUCAAAUGGUAAUCACCAAAUAUGCAAGUAUUUAGACGUCUCUGUCAGUGAAGAAAGCACAUGUUCCUUUUAAUUCAGACGCCAAGAAAAAGACGAACAUCUCCAAGUAUCCCGAGAACAUAAAUUGGAAUAAAUGACAUGAACAGAUCCUUUCAACAAAUAUACUGGGACAGCCUCAAAUAAUAAAGUUAAAAUCAAGUAGGCUCCUUAUUCAUAUGUAAACUCAAAGCAAUUAAAUACUAAUAUUUCCACCAAUCAAAUAUCAAAUGAGUGAUCAUAGAGUCAUAUCAAACUAUAAUCCGAUAUGUCUAAACCAAGCAGAUUCAUAAAUUUAUAUGCUUGUCCAAAGUGAAGCAACAAAUUUAACAAAAUGACAUGAAAAAACAGGAGCCAAAUCAAAUCAGUAUUUUAUUCAUUAGAAACUAGCAACAAUCAGAAAAUUAGAAGUGUACCUACCUUGUAUUUUAAAAGAAACAAAGGAAAAGAGAAACGAAGCUCAACAGCAAUUUCUCAUCCACAACAAACAACAAUCGCAGCAAGACAUCUCCAAUUAGAGCUUCAACAACUUGGAUCCUAAAUUGGAAUAAACGGCUUUACGAGCAUCAAGAGAAGAGUUCCAAUCAAGGGCAGCCACAAUAGCUCGAGCUACAUCGCUUGCUAUACCAUUGUCCUCCAUCUUUUUUUAGCUGUUAAUUAAUGCUUCAAUAGAUUCUUGAAGUUGUACAGUAUCCACCUUUGAAAAGGGUUUUAAAAGGAAGAAAGAAUAAAUUGGAAAGAGGGUUUUAAGCACGUAUGCCAGUUAUUUGCACUCUGCGAUGGUGGACAGAGUAGGGAUAGAGGAAAGGUGCUUCAUCUUUUAGGAUCUCUGAUCUGUGUGUCGUGUGGAGAAAAAAAUGAAGAAUAAGAGAGAGGGGUUUGGUCUUUUUUGUGGAAACGACGCUGAG